This 254-nucleotide ribosomal RNA is filed under the name uncultured bacterium. RNAcentral describes it as "partial 16S ribosomal RNA". It matches the Rfam family "Bacterial small subunit ribosomal RNA", at positions 524 to 776 of the family's 1533-position model. The record is from RNAcentral.
UACGUAGGGGGCGAGCGUUGUCCGGAUUUAUUGGGCGUAAAACGCUUGUAGGUGGCUACGUCAAGUCGGACGUGAAAGCCCCCGGCUCAACCGGGGAGGGUCGUCGGGGACGGGAUCGCUUGAGGACGGCAGGGGCAGGUGGAAUUCCCGGUGUAGUGGUGAAAUGCGUAGAGAUCGGGAGGAACACCCGUGGCGAAGGCGGCCUGCUGGGCCGAUCCUGACGCUGAGGCGCGAAGGCGUGGGGAGCGAACGGG